AUAUCAUUUGUACGUGGUAUAUUGAAUCAUAGCCAUGUCGUUAGAAAUUUGUAUUUUAUAAAAAAAAAAAAUUGAAGUUGAAAUUUCCUCCAAAUCAUCUUCCUUCUUCCUCAAAUUCCCCAAAUCCCCCUCCUGUUUGAUAUUGUGAAGUUUAAAACAAAAAAAAAUCAGAAGACAAUAAGCAGAAAGGUUCUAAUAUUUUGGCUUCUUCGAGAUCUUUCUUCUCCAAAUCCACAUGAUGGGUAUGACUGUGCCGUCAUCUAAUGCAAUUUCAGUUUCCGCUUCAGACUUGCCUCCUGGGGAUACAUGGGCCAACCCAUGUUCUGAGUUAGCAGCUAAAACUAUAAUCGGCGAAGUUCCCAUGGUUAAUAAUUCUCGUGUCUGGAAUUCAUCACACCAGUUGCUCUUCUCAUCAGAAAUCAGUAGAAUUAAUCGAUCACCUUCUUCCCCAAAACGAGGAAAAAAAACUGAAUUCUUGCUCUGAUCAACAAAAUUGAUGAUGUAAAUUAUGAGCCAUCCAAAAUUAUUGCCCCAAUUUCAUUUACCGCUUAAAGGAAGUAAGUUUUCAUAGAUAGAGAUGAUUUAAUGAG
Molecule: long non-coding RNA, 590 nt
Filed under: Olea europaea subsp. europaea
Lineage: Eukaryota; Viridiplantae; Streptophyta; Magnoliopsida; Lamiales; Oleaceae
Source: RNAcentral